UCCCGGUACCUUUGAAUUUGGGAACUGG
RNAcentral lists this non-coding RNA (28 nucleotides) under Rattus norvegicus (Norway rat). Lineage: Eukaryota; Metazoa; Chordata; Mammalia; Rodentia; Muridae. The record is from RNAcentral.